CAGCAGCCGCGGUAAUACCGGCGGCCCGAGUGGCGGUCACUAUUAUUGGGCUUAAAACGUCCGUAGCCGGGUUGGGAAGUCCUCCGGGAAAUCUGGCCGCUUAACGGUCAGAAUGCCGGAGGAUACUCCCAGCCUAGGGAGCGGGAGAGGCCGAGGGGAUUCCCGGGGUAGGGGGGAAAUCCUAUAAUCCCGGGAGGACCACCUGUGGCGAAGGCGCUCGGCUGGAACGCGUCCGACGGUGAGGGACGAAGGCCAGGGGAGCAAACCGGAUUAGAUACCCGGGUAGUCCUGGCUGUAAACGAUGCGGACUUUGUGUCGGACAAGCUAUGAGCUUGUCCGGUGCCGGAGGGAAACCGUUAAGUCCGCCGCCUGGGGAGUACGGCCGCAAGGCUGAAACUUAAAGGAAUUGGCGGG
This 414-nucleotide ribosomal RNA is filed under the name uncultured microorganism. RNAcentral describes it as "bacterial SSU rRNA". It matches the Rfam family "Archaeal small subunit ribosomal RNA", at positions 459 to 872 of the family's 1478-position model. The record is from RNAcentral.